Long non-coding RNA from Amphibalanus amphitrite, 196 nucleotides. RefSeq lists it as uncharacterized. The transcript is spliced from 3 exons. The record is from RefSeq and is a predicted model, not a curated record. NCBI's taxonomy places the organism in Eukaryota, Metazoa, Arthropoda, Thecostraca, Balanomorpha, Balanidae.
GUUGGGGCAGCCCUCGGCGGGGCAGUUCUGUGUUCAGUUAUAUGUGCAACUCACAAGUGCUCAAAAAGGCUGCAAGAUGCCUAGCUAGCAACUGCUCCAACCAGUUUGAAGGAAGAAGGGGUGUGUUUCUCCACAGGUUUCCUCAAGACCCAGGUGUGUACAGUGAAAGGACUGGCGCAUUCAGGUGAAGAUGGGC